RNAcentral lists this ribosomal RNA (741 nucleotides) under uncultured bacterium. RNAcentral's name for it is "bacterial SSU rRNA". It matches the Rfam family "Bacterial small subunit ribosomal RNA", at positions 1 to 742 of the family's 1533-position model. The record is from RNAcentral.
UAGAGUUUGAUCAUGGCUCAGAUUGAACGCUGGCGGCAGGCCUAACACAUGCAAGUCGAGCGGUAGAGAGAAGCUUGCUUCUCUUGAGAGCGGCGGACGGGUGAGUAAUGCCUAGGAAUCUGCCUGGUAGUGGGGGAUAACGUUCGGAAACGGACGCUAAUACCGCAUACGUCCUACGGGAGAAAGCAGGGGACCUUCGGGCCUUGCGCUAUCAGAUGAGCCUAGGUCGGAUUAGCUAGUUGGUGGGGUAAUGGCUCACCAAGGCGACGAUCCGUAACUGGUCUGAGAGGAUGAUCAGUCACACUGGAACUGAGACACGGUCCAGACUCCUACGGGAGGCAGCAGUGGGGAAUAUUGGACAAUGGGCGAAAGCCUGAUCCAGCCAUGCCGCGUGUGUGAAGAAGGUCUUCGGAUUGUAAAGCACUUUAAGUUGGGAGGAAGGAUUGUAGGUUAAUACUCUGCAAUUUUGACGUUACCGACAGAAUAAGCACCGGCUAACUCUGUGCCAGCAGCCGCGGUAAUACAGAGGGUGCAAGCGUUAAUCGGAAUUACUGGGCGUAAAGCGCGCGUAGGUGGUUUGUUAAGUUGGAUGUGAAAUCCCCGGGCUCAACCUGGGAACUGCAUUCAAAACUGACUGACUAGAGUAUAGUAGAGGGUGGUGGAAUUUCCUGUGUAGCGGUGAAAUGCGUAGAUAUAGGAAGGAACACCAGUGGCGAAGGCGACCACCCUGGACUAAUACUG